UACGUAGGGUGCAAGCGUUAAUCGGAAUUACUGGGCGUAAAGCGUGCGCAGGCGGUUUUGUAAGUCUGUCGUGAAAUCCCCGGGCUCAACCUGGGAAUUGCGAUGGAGACUGCAAGGCUAGGAUCUGGCAGAGGGGGGUAGAAUUCCACGUGUAGCAGUGAAAUGCGUAGAGAUGUGGAGGAACACCGAUGGCGAAGGCAGCCCCCUGGGUCAAGAUUGACGCUCAUGCACGAAAGCGUGGGGAGCAAACAGG
This 253-nucleotide ribosomal RNA is filed under the name uncultured bacterium. Its description in RNAcentral is "partial 16S ribosomal RNA". It matches the Rfam family "Bacterial small subunit ribosomal RNA", at positions 524 to 776 of the family's 1533-position model. The record is from RNAcentral.